Small nuclear RNA from Nomascus leucogenys (northern white-cheeked gibbon), 129 nucleotides. Its record names the gene U4. It matches the Rfam family "U4 spliceosomal RNA". From Rfam's summary of the family: U4 small nuclear RNA (U4 snRNA) is a component of the major U2-dependent spliceosome. The structure of U4 snRNA from yeast and human has been reported. The record is from Ensembl. NCBI's taxonomy places the organism in Eukaryota, Metazoa, Chordata, Mammalia, Primates, Hylobatidae.
AGCUUUGCAAAGUGCCAAUGAGGUUUAUCCGAGGGGCAAUUAUUGCUAAUUGAAAACUUUUCCCAAUACCCUGCCAUGACGACUUGAAAUAUAGUCGGCACUGGCAAUUUUUUACAGUCUCUAUGGAGA